UACGGGGCACAAAGAAGCCAUUCAGUAAGUGGUGGCUGUUACUGCAGCCUGGCACACGCUCGAUGACCCAGAAAUGUCAGUUUCCUUCAUCAUGUCCAGGGACUGACCCCCUACCACUUCCCUUCACCUGACACCCCCCACCCCCCCAUCAAAGGUCACAAUGUUCCAGGGCAAACCACGGGGCCCCAGGGUCUCUUGAUCCCAGAACGCAGCCGCCUCAGCUGUAGGAAGAGGCGCCUCCUCCCUGCUCCUGAGCCACUACCCCACCAGGAUGCACCGAAGAGAUGGUACUUCUCUUCACUCGAGUUUGUCAUCAAGACUCAAGCGAAGGGACAGAGGGCCGUGGAAGGAAGGGACAGCCCAAGUGUACGGCUGCUCCCAGACUCCUCGGCCAAGCCUGAGUAGAAUGGGGGGCCGGGGGGAUAACUGGUCAAUCAGACAGGCCAGGAGGGCGAUGGACGCCAAGAACUUUGCGUAAACACUGAGGAAAGGGGGAGGCGGGGCAGGUUGCCAACGAGGGUGGAACUGGUGGGGGACAAGGAAGGCUGGGCUGAGGGAGAGGAGGAGGCUGUUUCAGUCUGUUGGAAAAUAGGAAAAUUGAGACAAAAAUAUCACAGCCGUGAAACUGGUUGGAUGCCAAGUGAGCCAGAUCUGUCAGGAAUUCGACCCCAGUACUAAGCCCCAGUGCUCGGGGCUGUCAUUGACACCACCGAGGUGGGGACAAGUGGGUCUUUAAAUAGCUCGGUGUCUCAGAAGUGGGGGAGGCAGAAUGUUAAAUAUGACGCCUGCUGCCGUCCUGGGCCCCCCCAGAGGCCUCAGGCAGGGCAAGCUGGCCCCAGUUCACUCCUGAGAAAGAAGUGGGCAAGAAGUGGAUGGAGACUAGAGAAGGGGGGCUUUUUCCACCAUCAAAAAGGAUCCCUUGAUUUCUUGCCAUUGCCUGUUCCACUGGCUCUUGUCUGACCGUAGGGAAGUCCUUCCUGAAGUCUAGCCACCGUUCUGUUGUAGCCUUAACCUGUCUCUUCUCACAGUUUCCUCAGCAGAGGUAGGGUACGGUUAGUCCCCACCUCCCUGAAUCAUCCUGCAGAGACAGUCUGGGAUUUCCUGGCACCCUCAGCCUCGCCUCUACCCCUGAGGACCUUUCCUUGUUGGAUGAAGGGGCAGAGCACUGGUCUGGCCUGGCAGCUUUGGCAGAGAGCAGGGGCCCCUGAUUCCACGAAGUCAAAGGUCUGUGGAGGGCAGAGUUUUGGAGGGCUCUUCCAAAGCCUGGCUGCUGCCCAGCCUAAGUCCAGGUCUAAAUGUCAAGGCAGGGGUUGACUUCUUGUGCCAAAGCUUCAUGAGCUCUGCUAAUUCCCGGAGAAAAGACUGAGACCCACUCCCCUCCCCAAGACCUAAGCUGGAGCAGGUGGGGGGGCCUUCCCACCCCACCCCACCCGAAAUCAGGAGCCCCACUUGUUCCAGAAAACCCAGCCCAGGACCAAGUCCACUGCCACACCCUCCACAGAGCUUGGGAUCCUUCGCGCUUGCAAACGUACACAGGACUAAAGAUCAAGUGUAAAAUCCAAACUGGAUCAUCAAAGGGAGUGUGGGCACUGAGACUCUGUCCCUCAAGGGCCUAUUGGUGGCGUGAAGGGGGUCCCAUGUCCCAGGACACCACAUCCCGUAGGGUGCCCUGUGACACAGGCCCCAGGUAUCUGUCCUCUCUCAACCUAACAUCUCCUGAUCUGUCCCUAAGGGUCCUUGGGUCACGCUGGACUGCAGGGUACACCUGGGAGGUGUGAUCCUCACCAAGAAGGAAGCUGAGUGGCAGAUGCCAGUGAGAUGAAAGACCCAAGAAACAGGGAGAUCAAGGCAAGAGCUGUGAAGUGACCACUGGCCUCUGGCACGUGUCGUGGCGAUAAAGGCUGGCACCCUCAGACCAGCACGUCUACCCCAGGAGGCACUGAGCUUAGUUCAGAGAGCUUGACCUAGGACUUUGCUAGAAAGGGAACGCCUGACUCAGCACCUUCCCUGCUCUCCCCAGGCUCGACCAUCCCAUAGCUGCAACUUUAACCCUGGAAAACAGAGGGGAAGCUAGGAUGGAGACUUUGGCAUCUGAUGGACCCAUCUGUGGAUACCUGGGUUUAUGUUUGCCUUUCCUGAACACAGGAUUUUCUCUCACUCACCAGGGAGAAACCAUUGCCGUUUUACACCCCAUCUAUGAAAAUGAAGCCUAGAUUCUUCAGUCUGACUUUUAAGGCCCCAUAUUGCCUUUCUAACUUUAUUUCCCACUACUCCUUUUCAUGCACCUUGCUCCCUGAGUAAACCAAGCUGCUGGAUGUGUCCAUAUCUGUCCAGGGCCUCCACUCUCUGUUCUUUCUGUCUGGUAUGCAAAGGGAUAGUAAAGAGAAGAAACGUGUAGUCGAACAGGCCAGAACUAAAAACUCCACUUUACCACUUACUGGCUGUGUGAUUUUGGGCAGGACACUUAACCUCUCUGAGUCUCCCCAUCUGUAAAAAUCAGGUUAAGAGAAUUGACCUCAAAGGGUUGUUGUCAAAAAUAACUAUUUUGACACCUGCCGCAAAGUAAGUGCCCACUAUGGCCACAGGCCUAAAUUUAAUGCAUCCAUCCAGAAGCCCUUCCUCUCGAGAAUGUUCCAAGAUAAUCACUGCCCCCACCUCCUCAAAACCAGAAACGAUUCCUUCCUCCCUAUUACUUAAUCUAAGAGUCCUUUGGGGCUCAAAUCAUCCUCUCCCUUGCACUUGAGAAGGCUAAAGUCCCCUUGGGGACUGUGAGCCCCGAAGUCAGGACCCUGGUCUGACUUCAGUGUCCUUCCAGGUCUUUGUACCCAGGAGGUAGUAAAUGCCCAUUUGACUGACUAAAAAGUAAAUGAAGCUCCUGGUUGACAGACUAUCUAAUCACUCUGGGGCUCCACUCACUCACACUCACAAUGGACCCGGGGGAGGAACUAAGGUACAGAUUGCAGAGUGGUCUUCGGGGGCGAAAG
Long non-coding RNA from Physeter macrocephalus (sperm whale), 2984 nucleotides. RefSeq lists it as uncharacterized. The record is from RefSeq and is a predicted model, not a curated record. The transcript has 3 exons. NCBI's taxonomy places the organism in Eukaryota, Metazoa, Chordata, Mammalia, Artiodactyla, Physeteridae.